UGGGGAAUAUUGCACAAUGGGCGAAAGCCUGAUGCAGCGACGCCGCGUGAGGGAUGACGGCCUUCGGGUUGUAAACCUCUUUCAGCAGGGACGAAGCGCAAGUGACGGUACCUGCAGAAGAAGCACCGGCUAACUACGUGCCAGCAGCCGCGGUAAUACGUAGGGUGCAAGCGUUGUCCGGAAUUACUGGGCGUAAAGAGUUCGUAGGCGGUUUGUCGCGUCGUUUGUGAAAACCAGCAGCUCAACUGCUGGCUUGCAGGCGAUACGGGCAGACUUGAGUACUGCAGGAGAGACUGGAAUUCCUGGUGUAGCGGUGAAAUGCGCAGAUAUCAGGAGGAACACCGGUGGCGAAGGCGGGUCUCUGGGCAGUAACUGACGCUGAGGGACGAAAGCGUGGGUAGCGAACAGG
RNAcentral lists this ribosomal RNA (409 nucleotides) under bacterium. RNAcentral's name for it is "partial 16S ribosomal RNA". It matches the Rfam family "Bacterial small subunit ribosomal RNA", at positions 355 to 776 of the family's 1533-position model. The record is from RNAcentral.